GACGAACGCUGGCGGCGUGCUUAACACAUGCAAGUCGAACGGAAAGGCCUCUUUCGGGGGGUACUCGAGUGGCGAACGGGUGAGUAACACGUGAGUAACCUGCCCUUGACUUUGGGAUAACUUCAGGAAACUGGGGCUAAUACCGGAUAGGAGCUCCUGCUGCAUGGUGGGGGUUGGAAAGUUUCGGCGGUUGGGGAUGGACUCGCGGCUUAUCAGCUUGUUGGUGGGGUAGUGGCUUACCAAGGCUUUGACGGGUAGCCGGCCUGAGAGGGUGACCGGCCACAUUGGGACUGAGAUACGGCCCAGACUCCUACGGGGGGCAGCAGUGGGGAAUAUUGCACAAUGGGUGGGAGCCUGAUGCAGCAACGCCGUGUGCGGGAUGACGGCCUUCGGGUUGGAAACCGCUUUCGCUCAUGACGAAGCUUUGUGUGACGGUAGUGGGUAAAGAAGCACCGGCUAACUACGUG
Molecule: ribosomal RNA, 467 nt
Filed under: uncultured bacterium
Lineage: Bacteria
Description: partial 16S ribosomal RNA
Rfam family: Bacterial small subunit ribosomal RNA
Source: RNAcentral